GUCCUUAUACGGGCGUGCGCAGUGGUGGGUGUGGGCCUAGUUCGUAGAUGGCGUGGGCUGUGUCCGUUACGGCAGUGUGCUGAGCCUAGGAACAGAACGUCGUCUUGAGAGCUGAGCCGUUCGUUCGUUAGUACGGGAAGUGGAUGAGAAACCAAGCCGUGUAGUUACUCAUAUCUCGCCGGGAGUUUGAUUUGAAACGGCGCGGCUGAUUCUACCGGCGACGAGCCCAUGGAGGCCAACGGAUUGGAGUUCCUGCUAGAUUUGAUCAACUUGUGCGUUCCAGGUUCUCCCUUCAUGAGGAGUUUACCGAUAACCUGGAGCAUCCAGAUCCGGUGCCCCCUGCUGUGCUGCCGCGAUUUCGGAGAGAAUCAGGUCGUAGUGGAGGAAUGGAACUGUGCGUGAGGCUGCGCCCAAGUGGUCGGCAGCCUAGCCUGCAGAGAAGUGGAACACUUCGCCUGUGCAGUCAGAGCAGUCCCCCGGGAAGGUGAAUCCGGCCCGAGCACCAGGAUAGAAGAGGUGAUGAACUGUUGAUAAUUUUCACUACUGAUUUGCAUUAGUAGUUGAGAAAAAUUUGCUGGGGCUACGUGCGUAUAAAUUUAAUUGUUUAGAUAUUUCAAUUACAACAUCUGUCGCUCAUCUAUGGUUGUGAAAUUUUGCUUUUGGUUUUUCAUUCCUUUUUGUGUGGGUGAGUCUCCAGCAAUGGAUUUUUGGUGUAGUCUUAAGCAAACUGAGUUAGCUGUUCAUUCGUUACAGGCUGCAGCUGGGCAGUGCUGAUGUAAAUGUUAAAUCACUUAAGCAAAUGUUUACAACUCAUUGACGGUUCCUGAUUCAGUUAAAUUAAAUGCUGAUGCACAUCAAUUUAUCAGCACAAACAUUUUUUGGGGACUGUUUUGUCCAGACAUAUGGUUCUCAUUUCCAAUAAAAUUUCGCGAAAAUUGCAUAUCUUUCAGUAGGCAUAAGAAUAUUUGUAUUUCGGUCAAAAUUGCAUUGGGGCAAAAUAUUUAAGUAAACGUGAAUUUUAGCAGAUUUAAAUAGAACACAAAUUUCAUCCAACUCUGGUUAUAUUUCAGUCAAAGUCAAGUCAGAUUUUUUUUCACUCGGCCAAACUGAACCGAAAUGACAAUGCGGUUGAUUUCAGUGAUGGCCCAAUUCUGAUCGCAAUCAAGAAAAUGAGCUGUGAUAAAACAUUCCAUAGAUCCAAAGUACAUUAUGGUCAACUGUAUUCCCUCGUCACAGAAUAUCAUUAGUGGAUUCUUAAGGAUUGCGACUUCUUUUAGUUAUCUUUAUUAUUAUUCUUUGUUGCGAUGGCUGCUACUGUGCAUUAUACUUUUCUUAAAACACUUGGUUCUUGGGUUGAUCCAUUAGGAUGAUGGUGCAGCAGCCAUUGUACUUAAGAACUUAAAGGCUGAUCUCGGCAAAUAUGCAACGAGGUUAUCAGAAUGAUUGCUGAUAUGUCUGAAGAUCAAACAUGCAUUGCCACCUGGGAUGUGCCUGAAACAGUUGAAGGGAAAAUGGUCUGUGUCCAUUGCAUCUCUUGUGCUAAAUAGCCUAUCCUAGAGUAAUUCAGGUUAAUAUUAGUUUGAUGUUGUUCCAAACAGGUUUGCCUAUUCCUGUGACAAAAUUGAUGUGUGCAUGGGUCUUGUCCCUUAACAAAAUUGAUGUGCAAAUCCCAGCAGGUUCCAAUCAAGUUAACGGCUUUUCUUCUGGUACUUUGAUGGCUUGAUUAAUUAGGAGGAUCGAUGCCUGAAAACAGGAGUUCAUGUAGCAGAACAAAGAAGCAGAGAUGAAGAAGUGUCAAGAGAAAGGAACUCACAUGAGAAAUUCUGAAUCUUCAAGGCUCGUUUCAUGUAUUUCAUAUUUUGAACUGUUGAAGAUGUUAUUGUACUUUUUGGCUGUUAAUAUGUGUUUAGAAUAAUUAUUCACAGUAAAUUCUGUGUUUAGAAUAACUGUUGAAGAUGAUACAUGGGAUUCAGCUUCUAUGCCUAGAAUAAGUAUUCACAGUAAAAUCUGGAUGUGCAUAGCACAUAGCAGCUAGUAUGCAAAGUUGAUCAUGGUGCUAUUGCAGGGGCUUGCACUGUUUUGUUCUCCGCUGAUCAUAUCAGCUUGUAAAAUCUAUACAGUAUAGUGGCCUUUUCUGA
Triticum urartu is the source of this 2138-nucleotide non-coding RNA. NCBI's taxonomy places the organism in Eukaryota, Viridiplantae, Streptophyta, Magnoliopsida, Poales, Poaceae. The record is from RefSeq and is a predicted model, not a curated record.